Molecule: ribosomal RNA, 431 nt
Filed under: uncultured bacterium
Lineage: Bacteria
Description: partial 16S ribosomal RNA
Rfam family: Bacterial small subunit ribosomal RNA
Source: RNAcentral
CCUACGGGGGGCAGCAGUGGGGAAUUUUGCGCAAUGGGGGAAACCCUGACGCAGCAACGCCGCGUGGAGGAUGAAAUCCCUUGGGAUGUAAACUCCUUUCGAUCGGGAAGCGGUACCGGGAGAAGAAGCCCCGGCUAACUUCGUGCCAGCAGCCGCGGUAAUACGAGGGGGGCAAGCGUUGUUCGGAAUUAUUGGGCGUAAAGGGUGCGUAGGCGGUUUGAUAAGUCAUCUGUGAAAUCUCUGGGCUCAACCCAGAGUCUGCAGGCGAAACUGUCGAGCUUGAGUAUUGGAGAGGUGAGUGGAAUUUCCGGUGUAGCGGUGAAAUGCGUAGAUAUCGGAAGGAACACCUGUGGCGAAAGCGGCUCACUGGACAAUCUGACGCUGAUGCACGAAAGCUAGGGGAGCAAACAGGAUUAGAUACCCUUGUAGUC